RNAcentral lists this ribosomal RNA (320 nucleotides) under uncultured bacterium. RNAcentral describes it as "bacterial SSU rRNA". It matches the Rfam family "Bacterial small subunit ribosomal RNA", at positions 201 to 509 of the family's 1533-position model. The record is from RNAcentral.
UGUACGCAGUCUACGAGCGGCGAGGGAUGGGCCCGCGGUCCAUUAGCUAGUUGGUGGGGUAACGGCCUACCAAGGCGACGAUGGAUAGCUGGUCUGAGAGGAUGAUCAGCCACACUGGGACUGAGACACGGCCCAGACUCCUACGGGAGGCAGCAGUCGGGAAUCUUGCGCAAUGGGCGAAAGCCUGACGCAGCAACACCGUGUGGGCGACGAAGGCCUUCGGGUCGUAAAGCCCUGUUGUUGGGGACGAAGGGCGAAGGGUUAAUAGCCCCUAGCCUGACGGUACCCUUCGAGGAAGCCCCGCUCGUAGACUGCGUACC